This 616-nucleotide ribosomal RNA is filed under the name uncultured Gammaproteobacteria bacterium. RNAcentral's name for it is "bacterial SSU rRNA". It matches the Rfam family "Bacterial small subunit ribosomal RNA", at positions 129 to 740 of the family's 1533-position model. Lineage: Bacteria; Pseudomonadati; Pseudomonadota; Gammaproteobacteria. The record is from RNAcentral.
CCUUUUCGUGGGGGAUAACGUAGGGAAACUUACGCUAAUACCGCAUACGACCUUCGGGUGAAAGCAGGGGACCUUCGGGCCUUGCGCGGAUAGAUGAGCCGAUGUCGGAUUAGCUAGUUGGCGGGGUAAAGGCCCACCAAGGCGACGAUCCGUAGCUGGUCUGAGAGGAUGAUCAGCCACACUGGAACUGAGACACGGUCCAGACUCCUACGGGAGGCAGCAGUGGAGAAUAUUGGACAAUGGGCGCAAGCCUGAUCCAGCCAUACCGCGUGGGUGAAGAAGGCCUUCGGGUUGUAAAGCCCUUUUGUUGGGAAAGAAAAGCAGUCGGCUAAUACCCGGUUGUUCUGACGGUACCCAAAGAAUAAGCACCGGCUAACUUCGUGCCAGCAGCCGCGGUAAUACGAAGGGUGCAAGCGUUACUCGGAAUUACUGGGCGUAAAGCGUGCGUAGGUGGUUGUUUAAGUCUGUUGUGAAAGCCCUGGGCUCAACCUGGGAAUUGCAGUGGAUACUGGGCGACUAGAGUGUGGUAGAGGGUAGUGGAAUUCCCGGUGUAGCAGUGAAAUGCGUAGAGAUCGGGAGGAACAUCCAUGGCGAAGGCAGCUACCUGGACCAACAC